Molecule: long non-coding RNA, 256 nt
Filed under: Panax ginseng (ginseng)
Lineage: Eukaryota; Viridiplantae; Streptophyta; Magnoliopsida; Apiales; Araliaceae
Description: long non-coding RNA (PGIN_LNC018861)
Source: RNAcentral
GGCUUCAACCAUAACAUCCUCAACAACCUCCUCAACAACAUCCUCAACAACAUGACGGUUUUCAACCAUAACAUCCUUAACAUCCUCAACAACAUGACGGUCUUCAAGCAUAACAUCAUCACCUUCAUUUCCAACUUCAUUUACAAAUUCAUCCUUCUUCUCAUCAUCUUUCAAACCAUCAUCACCAACCUCACCAGCAUGCUGAUCAACAACAUCAUCAACUUCAUCAGAAUCAUCGGCUUCAUCAUCAUCAUCA